This 3264-nucleotide long non-coding RNA is filed under the name Malus domestica (apple). Its description in RNAcentral is "long non-coding RNA (MDOM_LNC001753)". Lineage: Eukaryota; Viridiplantae; Streptophyta; Magnoliopsida; Rosales; Rosaceae. The record is from RNAcentral.
AUCCUUCUCACUACAUUAAUGGGUGAGGAUCUUUAGAGGUUUUCAAUUUUGGAAACUUGAAGAGGACCUAGGAGCACUCAUACUAAACAAAGUGGAGGAGGCAAGGAAGGAGGCUAGGCUCAAGGAGUUCAAGGAGCAAAGGGUAUAAACCUACUCCUAAACUUUGUUCUUAUAUAAAUUUGUUUUUGAUGCAUCUUACAUAAACCUAUGCAUCUUGAAGGGGAUUUACAUGACUAGAGCUUUGAUAUUAUUUGAUAACAUGCUUCCGUUGCUUUCGUAUAUAAAUUUUGAAUUGUAUAUGCAUGCUAGUCACUAGAAAUCCCACAUGAAUCUCAUAGAAUUCCCUUCAGAAACUACAUUUCAAUUCUCCCUUUCAUGAAGAUUAGUGUUUGCUAAUCUUCAGGGCUUCCACAAACCAUGAGUGACACCUAGCAAUAUGUCAUGGCUAACCAAGCUAAGUAGAAGUGGUUGGAGAACCUAUCCAGUUACAAUUACAAUGCAAUACAGUCCUUCUCUAAUACUAUACUCUUAAUCAAAUUGUUUGAGUGGUAGUUUGUUUCAUGUCUACUAUCCAAUGUGAUACUUCACUAUAUGAUUCAAUUGAAUAUGAUUUGGAACAAACUUCCUAAGUCAUAUUCAUAUGUUUUGGCCAAAGACUCCCGAAUUAUAUCUCAGAGUAUUCUCCCUCCACCAUGGAAGGUCAGAGAUCCCUUGUUGUGCAUUCAUAUGCCUACAUGACUAGAUAGCCACUCUCGAUGGAAUGCCUUUGACAUGAUCAAAGAUCAAUGACCUAACCAUUAGACAACUAUGAUGCCUCAGGUCAAAGGACUACUUUGCAUAUUGCAACUUACAAGUUCUUACAUGACAUGUAUCUUUGAACUCUCUUUUGAUCGUUGUUCAAUGUACUCGAUUACCUUUUGAGCACCUAUGUGUUUGUCUUAGUAUCCAACACUAAAUGAAUUGAGACUAGUCAUACUUAUGCUUGAGUUAACAUAACAUAUACUAACCUUAGCCGAUUGUCAAUGCCCAAUUGGCAAUCUAUGGCUAGGAACGUUUUAGGAAUGAACAUAAAAGAAAGGUCUCAUUAAUCUAACUUACUUACAUCACUUCUCUCUUAGAUUAUAUACAUUCCUGGGAUUCCCUUAUUGCUUAAACACACAAUACAAUAAAUAGUGAUUACCAAUAAGCUUUCAUUAAACAUAUAAUAGUUUAACACAACAAGUAUUCCAAAAGCUAUUACAUCAAAUGAGUGGCUUUACAGGCAUACUUCCCCAAAAUUCUGCCAAAAGGAAGAAAUCUCCUUAAAAUCGACAAGGGGCUCAAAUUGCUCCCAAAACGGUUAAGAAAGCUAAAGCAUCUUCACAAAAACAAGCAAAAAUUGAUGAUUGCUCACAAAAUAGGCAACAAGCCCUAUAGAUUUCGGCCAAGCAAGGGAAAGUGGUUGAAACAAGACACAAAACAAGCCUAAUUUCUCCCAUGGACGAAUCAAGACACAAAUCAAAGCAAAACCCACCCAAAGGCAUGGCUUUGGAAGUCUAUAAAUACAAGGUCCCAAGACAAGCAUAAGGUCGACAAUUUCUAUAUUAAAGGUCAACAAUUCUACAUCUAGAGGAACCCCUGCACCAAAUCUUUGAAGACUAAUACGCUGCCAAAUCUCCCUUCAAAGAACGCACAACCAAAGCCGAAGCUUUCUUUCGACCAAAGUCGAAGCAUUCCCUAGAAUAAUCAACAAGCACCUGUGCCGAUUCCUUCAAGACUUUGUUGCAAGCUCAAAACUUGUAACGACGUUCGAUUCAAGAUCAAGUCGCCAAGACCCUUGAAUCAAUGAAAUUCUACAUCAAUACUCCCUUUGCCGCAACCCUAAACCUGAGGUGAAGACUAUCCAAGCAUUGUUUCAAGCUCAAAACUUGAUGUAAUCGUUCAAUCGUUCGUCCUAGAUCAAGUCAUCACGACCCUUGGAUCAACAACCUACGCAUCUACAUCAAAUUUGAAGACUGAAUUAGAGGAAAAUUGUAAACAGAGAUUGUAACCCUACAAAUUCAUCAAUACAAAUCUACUUUCUACACGUGUUCUCAUUUCAUUCGUUACAGAAUUUUUAUGUUUACACAUGUUACAAAAACUGAUUUUUCUCUCUCAUUGUGAUUACAUGUGAAUUCGGAAAUGACAACUACAACUAAGUAUUAACCAAAGAGCACAUCAAAAUUACACCCAUGUUUGUAACUUUCUUUAAUAGUCAUACAAUUAAAACCCAAAUCCUCAUCAUUGUGUUGGAAAGUACCCUAAGACACACAAAAGCAACAAAAAUAACAAAAAUGACUCUUGUUUGGUUUUUUUUCUCAAACUUUUCUACUUUUUUUUUUUAAUUUUGUUUUUAUGAAACACAAUAAAACACUGUAAAAUAGUGAAUAACAACAUUAGUAGUGAUAGGUGGUGAAAUUAAAAGAUAAGUAAUGAAAAGCAAUUUGUUUAACCCCCUCCCCCCACACACACACUUACACUUAAACCAAACAUUGUCCUCAAUGUUUCAAAAAUAAACUUAAACAAGAAAGCAAUAAAAGAUAACUAGCAGACAAGACAAUCAUGGCAAAGUAAAAACAAUAAAGAGAAUGGCAAAAGAGAGCGAAUCUUGUUGUAGGAGCCAUAAAUUUCAUUGUCUCUUUAUUUGAACACAUGGGUUGCCUCCCAAGAAGCGCUUACUUUAACGUCUUCCAACCGGAUGAUACCUCCACUUAAGCUUCAUUGUGUGAAGGAAAAAUUUUGUCCUAGCUAAGAACAAGUAAGAACAUUUGAAUACAUAUGCAAACUAUUAACACAUUAAAGUAGGCAUGCAUUCAAAACAAUUCAUAAAACCCAUGACUUUCAAAGCCUAGUAUAUGGUGAACCAUUAAACUCUUUAACAACAUUAAAGAGAAGGAAAGAUUUAGAGUUUCUUUACCCUUGAAGCUCAUCCUUGAUUACACAAGGGAUUCACCCAAGUGGAGGGCCUUCAAGUCACCUCCUUGCUUCUUGGAUCUUCCUUGUGAUUUUCCUCCUUUUAGUGCUCCUUUGCUUCUUUGAGGAUUUGUUCUCCAAAACAUCAAAAGCUUGAUGUCUCUAAGUCUUUUCACCAAGGAUGUGAUGUGAAGAUGAAAUGGAUGACUUAGGGAAGAAGAGAUUGCUAGCUAUUCCUUCCCUAGGUGGCCGGCCUCUUUUGAGAAAAUGAGAGAAAAUGUUUCACCUCAUUUCACCAAGAAAAACCAUAAAUGAAAAUAAAGCUAUAAAGUU